UCAUAGUUGAUGAGCACGCUGCACGCCUAUAUUGAAAACAAGUAAAGUAGUAAUUUCCAACUAACAAGUGCCAUCGCCAUUUCAACCAACCAAAUCGAGACGCUGAUUCAUUCUAUUCUCUGCUGCAAUGGUACUCUCGCGCCUUCGUCACCCUCUCAUCUCUCGUUCCCUUCGCUUCCUCUCUUCCUCCACCAGAUCCAUUUCACGAACUUCUAAUUCAAGGAAUUUUUCUGUGGAUAGUGUUGGAAAUCUAAGGCCUGCAUCUUGCUCUAGGCUUACUGGAGUUUGUCUUUGUGAUAGUUCUUUUAAGUCAAAGUGGAUUGAUGUCAAAUACUUCUCAUCUUCAG
This is a long non-coding RNA of Gastrolobium bilobum, 347 nucleotides long. RefSeq lists it as uncharacterized. Lineage: Eukaryota; Viridiplantae; Streptophyta; Magnoliopsida; Fabales; Fabaceae. The transcript has 4 exons. The record is from RefSeq and is a predicted model, not a curated record.